Molecule: long non-coding RNA, 1867 nt
Organism: Ictalurus punctatus (channel catfish)
Lineage: Eukaryota; Metazoa; Chordata; Actinopteri; Siluriformes; Ictaluridae
Source: Ensembl
UCAGCAGCACAUCUGCAUGUGGUAUUUGAGAGCUGAUUAGUCAUGCUGACGUUGUGCGGAGAUAAAUCUAUCACCCAGAGGAACACAAACACUCGGAGAAAUGAAAGGAAGCGAGGUGACACGGCUCUGCUGUUUCAAUAAAUCACUGAGACGUGAUUAAAACCAUGCGCCCGAGUGAUGAGAGAGGCUGCAAGUGCGAGGCAUCACCACAACCUGGUUCAAGGAGAGUGUCAGCUUUACUUCUCUUUCAUCUCCAUUAUCGACAGAGCCACCCCGCUCAGCACCAUUGUUCCAGGCAGACAUCUUUUACCUCUGGCGCAGUGCGUGGACGGGCUUCGGAAAUGUCCGGAAGGAAAGCUAAUCCCAUCACUCAGCCUGGGAAACGCUAAAUCACACAUGAAAGGCGAGUGGAAACGUUCCGUCACAGAUCACACGCGGGCUGCUGAGAGCUGAGGAACCGAGCAACAGAGGAACCGAAGCGAGCUUGGCCUGGUUCCCCUCUGCCCCGAUUCAAAGUGCACUGCAGCAGGAAGCAGUCAUUCCCACUUCCCGUCUAAAGGCGGCCCGAGGGAGACAAAAAAAAUGAAGUGUUAAAGGCUUUCUAGCACUCAGUGUUUUUUAAAUAAUUCCAAGAAAUGCUCUCACUCUCUGUCUCACCCCCUUAUCAAGGACGCGAUGGUGUUGGCCAACAUACUGUUGACUACAAGUGAUGAUACUUAUCAUACGAUGAUGACAAAUUUUAAUAUGGGUCAGGGAAUAUGGAUGACGAGUGCUAAAUUCUGUUCAGUUCAGGGUUAGAAACAUUAAACGUUUUAGCAUGUGUGUCAUGGGGGCGCUGUUGUUACACAGAACACCUGGCAGCUGCUGAGUUAUUCCAUAACUCAUUGUAUGUCUAACUAUCUUACAAAUAAAUAAACACAUCUGCAUUUGCACACGCUCUGACACACCUAGCCGAACAUUGGCCGUGUUGUCUUGCGUAAUCCAUCAGUACCUGAGGGCUGACAGGUGCGUUUGCCGUGGCUUUGAUUUGCGAGGCGACUGCCAGACUGUGGCUCGACCCCAUUAGCUGAGGAUUCCCAGGCUUGUUAGCGCCCUCCUCCCUCCUUUCCCCCAUUAUUUACCAGGCCUUCAUCACCACAGAAUGUGCUCCUUGUACAGAGUAAUGGAAGCAAUCCAUCCUCUCUGUCAGAGGCAAAAACAGCCCUGCUUUCUCUGAAGCCAGGGCAAAGCACUGGACCCACUUCGAGCCUGGCUGUUUACAUUACCAAGGUGUGUGUGUAUGUGUGUGUGUGUGUGUGUGUGUGUGUUUCUUUGGGCACAUACAUGUGAAGAAGUGUGAGAGGGUGUUUCUGUUUAAAGAAACACACACGCACACUCUUGUAGUCCGGGGAAGGAAGCACAUUAGGGAGGUUGGUUAGCUAGCCAGGCCUUUUAUUGCUCUUGAUGAAAUGCUCCAAAUAUAUUUCCACCCGUGUGUGUAUGUGUGUGUGUGUGUGUGUGUGUGUGUGUGUGUGUGUGUGUGUGUGUGUGUGCUUUAUGGGCAAAGGAUAAUUCAGGGUUAUUAAUGACACUGAAUGGGUUUGUGCCCUUCUCAAAGCACAGAGGUUAUUCCUCAUGAAGCUGUGCAGUGCAGGUCAACUGGGAGAUUAAUCACCAUCUGUGUGCACUGCAGUUAUAAAUCACUGUAGUGGUACUGGAAAUUACAAUUAAAGUCAAUACCAUUUGUUUAUUUUAUCCUUACUUUCAUGUUACUUUUAGCAUUUUUUACUUUCUCGCUUUUGUCCUUUGAAACACACACAGUGUGGUUGUGGCAAGGCACAGUACAGUAACAAAUCCUUCAUCAUACAUUGUGUUAUUUCCAUUGCCA